AGGAAUUCAAUUAAGACUAUAUAGGAGGACGGGAGUGGCAAAGGCGAAGGCAAACACAAAAAAUUCUCCUUAUCCACAGCUUUGAUGACUCUACAGGGACACCAACUAGUGAGACAGGGCAUACAGCAAGAUGCUGGUCUAAGUUCAUUGGUCCACAUGUAUCUUGGGGUAUAGUCUUUUCUCGACGCCACUUUGACAAGUAAUAUGAUCCCAUGCCAUGCUAGGUUGCUAAUCUCUCACUUCACCACUGUCUGGACAAGUAAAUAGAUCUUGAACAAAACCUAAAUAAUAAUAAUGAUACUAAUACAAAGGAAUUUGUCUGAACUGUUCCUCCCUGUUCCUCUAACAAAACAUAGUUUAGACGAAGAUAAAAAAAAAAAUCGUAAAUUAGAUAAAACUUUGAUAGUAGGACAGUGCAUAAUCAAGAUCCAGACAAAAAAAGGGAAAAAAAGUUUGGAUUGCCUAUACAGCCUGGGCUGCUUUUGCAAGACAAGAAGGAUAAGAGAAAAUAAAUAAGAGUAGGCGGGGGAAAAAAAAAAAAAAAAAAAAAAUCAUCACUCUGUUCUUUGAUUACUUUUACUUGAUGGUUAUCACCACCUCCAAGUAAUGAUUCAAACUACAUGUCAUACAGAUGUGUAUAAUCAAGAUCAGGGAAUAAAAAAUCAAAAAGAAAGGGAACAAGUUUGGAUUGCAUUUGCAACCUGGGCUGCUUUUGCAUGACAAGAAAGAUAAAGAGGAAAUAAGAGGAAAAGGCAAAAUGAAAGAGGAAAAAAAAGGGAAAAAAAAUCAUCAUUCUUUGUUUGUUUAUACUUUUCGUUUAUGAUUAUCGGCAACUUUUUGAUGGUCACAAUCUUCUCUUUGUUUUAGUCAUUCUAUCAUAGUUUAUCAAUGGAAAUAACAAUUCAAUCUUAAUUUGGUCAUCACUACUGUCAUGAAUAAUUAACAUAUUAUGUUAUUGUCUUUCAGUUUUACUCAUGCUUUAUAUAACAUAUAGAGGAUUUCUAAUAAGCUUGUGGAACUCAUUUUGAUUAAUUUUUUGACUAUUUUAGUCGUGUAAACGUAGAUGGAUGUAAUGUUUAUGUAUGUCAAUAUCUUUUAAUUUUCUAGCUCCGUAGAAUAGUGUGAAGUGUCAUCCAAUAUAACACACUUGAGCUACCCAAGUGGCACAUGGUUGGAUGGGCCUCUAGGGUAUUGUUUAGAGUUGGUUCGUUGCUUUGUUAUGUAGUAGUAGGAUCUAUUGGUUCUAACAAAUUAUCUUAAACAUUUUGUUAUACGAUCGUUUAAAGCUUGCAAAGUCUAUCUUUAUAAUUUGCAUUCUCUAUCAAAUGUUUGUUGAAAUAUCUACUUGUGAGAUAUCGAGUUAAAUAAUUCUUCUAAUCUGUCUUUUCUUUUAUAGAUUCUUAUAUUAUCAUAAAAGAUUUUUGAGACACUAUCCAUUUGUAGACAAACACACAAAGGUGUCGUACGACUUAGGAAAUAUGGCUAAGUUUAUGACAAUUUGUACCAAAGUGAGACAUACAUACUUAAAAACACUUGGUAUGCAAAUAUAGGGGACCUAGUGAGGUUGUAUUAAGGGUGGUCAGCAUAUGCAACCGUUUAAUAGAAACUAGUGUAGAGACAUAUGAAAACGAAUCGCUUAGAGGAGCGAAUAUCUGUGAUUGUCAUUCAAAGGAAUGGCCAACCCUUUGCGCGAGAGGCACCAUGAGGUCAAGUAACUUAGGAAGAAUGUGUAGCACACAAAGGUUGGAAUGGUUGAGUUUAAGCUACGACUCGAUGUUGGCAACCAAACUUAAUAGCGUUAAAGGCAAGCGAGAGCGUUUGGAAAAAGAUGAGAUCAUAUAAGGAGGGAUGAGUUGUUCGGUGACUUAAAGAGUUAUGUAAAUUGCAUAAAGGUAAGAGAAACUUCUAUAUCGAAAAAUUUGAUACUCAUGUAAGGGCUUAUAUACAGAUAAUGGAUUGUCCAUGACAAUCCCAAGGUGAUCAAAACUCGAUGCCAUGGAGCAUGAAAACUUUUUCUUUGACAUGGGAAUGAUACGUCUAUAGGAGAUUGAAGUGUGUAGUAGGUUCAACAAAUUGUUAGGCCUUAAGGGGGGCAAUAAAUGUUAUAUUAACAAAGAGUCAUAGUCUAGUAAGUGCAUUUGCGAUGGUGAAACAGUGCACAAUUUGUUCAGCAAGGUAGAGUAGUCCAAGAGGAUGAUGACCUUUGAAAUUUUUAGAGAGAAAGUUACUUCAACAAUAAAGAUAUAUAAGAGGAAUAUAUCUCAAUUCUCCAAAAGGAGAAUCAUAUGCAACAGACCGUAAAUGUUGAGUGGGCUACCCUAAGACAAUAGUUCCAUAAAGCUCAAUGGACUAAGUGAGUGACAAGGAGUCAUCGCAUGAUCUCAAUGGACUAAGUGAGUGACAAGGAGUCAUCGCAUGAUCUCAUAUGGACAUAUUACGAGAUCAAGUGGGGUGCUCCUGAGGUAAUAUCAAAUGAAUGCACACUUAGAGCUAAUAUGAAGAUCGAAUUCAAUGAAGGGUUGACUCGUGGAAUGGUGGGCACGAGGACCACCAUCAACUCAAUGCGAAUAGAAGAGUGGAAUAAUUUGGGUAAAACUCGAUGAAGUGCCCAAGACGUAUAAAGGGAGUCGACAUAAAAACCAAAAAAUUGAGUAGAGGCACAAAGCAUUUCUUGGUCAGAGGUCAAGGAUAUGAACUAUUAUAGAGGCAAGAGCAAGAUCAUAUCGUUCCAUAGGUCCCUUGUUCUGAUGGAACGAACUAAUCUUGCAUAGUUUUAAAGUCAAAGGGAGCUUUAAGGCCUAUGCAUCUUAUCUCAACAAAAUAGUUGAUAAAGGGACGGAAGCAAAGUUGGGGUCAGAAAACCUUAGCAUUGGGCAAGAGGAUGUGAAGACGAGUACUCUUGAAGAAUAUGUUGCAAUGUUACCAUUACCAUUUGAGUUACUGCAAAAGAAGUUAUAUGCAAUAGAGAUUAUGUUAGGGGUAAAAGCCCAAGAUCUAGAUAAUGGCACAUCAAUUUCAGUGAAGUCAAUGAAAUUCGAUAGUUAUUGGGUAAUAGACUAUCCUAAAGUUGCACUUCGUUCAUGUGUGACCCAAGAGCGAGUGGACGAAGAUCGAUUGUUAAAGGAGCAAACAGUAUCAGAAGUGGCAAAGGCUUUGCGAUGUGCUAACGGAGGCCACACAUAGAGAGAUUAUAGUCCAAAUUCAUCCCACAAAGAUCAAAAUACAUUAAAAAUGUCAUAAGAAGGUGACAUGAUACAAUAUAUCAUGAUGGAAUAGUUUUAAGGCAAUACGAUACACAUAGAAGAAGUCCGGUGAGUGGCUUAAUUAUAUAAAGGUGAACUUCACUUUAGUAAGCAACACAACAACAAGAAGAGUCAUAUAUUCAAGAAGUGAAUGACAUGGUACCGUAAAGGCGGGUCUUUCAUGUGUGUACUAAAUUUUACAUUUGAUGAAAGCCUUGGUUAUCAUAGAAGUAUGAUUUGAGUGGCUGGAGAGUUGGGACUACUCUAAAGCUCAUAUUCGCUAGAGAGCCCAAUAAGUCAAAGGAAAAGGCUGAGCGAAUGAAUAUUACUACCAAUGAUGCAAAGGAGAAUAGAAUCGACGCAAGCCCUACAACAUGAUAUAGAGGUUAUGCAUGAGAGUUACAGUCUAUUAUUUUAUCAUCCAAGGGAAACUACUCAAAUAACACAAAGGUGUUGAAACAAGUAGUCGAAAAGGGCAAGGAGGCAAUGACGAGUCCAAAGGGACUUAGCUACCCAAAACCAAGCGUUAAUUAGAUAAAGGGGGACUUGGAAGAGUAUCAUAGUGCCACAAAAAUGGAUCUACCAAUCACGAAGAAAGGGAUACAAAUACGAGGUGAUAGAUAGUAAAGCUAUGGGCAUAACAGCAUCAUGAUAUCGUAAAGGUAGGACUUUCGUGGAGUCAUCGAUCCUUUGCUCUCAUGGAAGGAGAGCGCAUGGUUGUAAAAGAGGGCUAAGGAGGUAAAAACUUUAAGUACCGAUAAGAUAGAAGGGCAAAGGUUAUGGAACUUCAUAAGACCAAUAUUGACAAGCUUCUCAUCAAGAUAACUGAAAAUGAGGAACUUUUGGUUGAUACAAUAUUACUUGACUAAAGAAUGGAAUAGAUAGUACGUGAUCUUGUACAUUUUCUAAUUAGAGGAGUAAGUGAUAGAAAUGAUAGAGAAGAUGAUAUAAUCCUAGAGAUGACCAAAACAAUAGGAGAUUUUCUUUAAGCCGGGGUAAAAUUUUACUCUUUUCGGGCAAAACUUCUUAUAUUUUUAAAGUUCAAUGGAAAUAAGGAGGUGAAUCAUAGUAGUUAACACAAUGCAAGGAGUAUAAAUACCUUGGGUGCUUUAGAAAUAUGAGCAAAAGACAAGCAAAGUUAGUAAUUAGCUUGAUGCAUGAAGUAUAACCCUCGAGAAGGUGAGUGAAGUCAAGUAACAUUUGUCUUCUUAACUCUUAAGAGAAUGGGUAAAAAUCAAGUAUCUCAAUUAACUUAUUUAUCUAACAAAGAAGCUUUACACAUAUUCAAAGACCCUUCAUAGAGACUUGGUGGAAGAUAACAAUUGUCAAAUCUUCACUAAUGGUGAUUAUAUCUAUUGAGAGUCGAUUGUCUAUUUCAUUUCCCAAUAAAAUACUAAUCGAAAGCAGAAGUAAUGCUAACCUACUUGAUGUGACAACUAAGCAAAAGAAAAAUCAAUCAAUAAAUUUUACAAGGCGAUGCUAGUUAAAGCUCUAAUAGGCAUCCACCUAACUCAAGCGACAUGAGAUGCUUGAGAGAUUGAUGUAUAACAAUAAAGGUCUUUUCCUUCAUCCGAGGGAUCUGUAGGAACAAAUAAAAAACAACACAACUUGAUUGACCCCACACCAGAGUCUGAGUUACUAACAAGUUGAAGCAAUGUUGGUGGAUUAAAAUUUGACCCUACAAUGAUAAUGGAGAGCAAUUGAAAGCCAAGAGAGAUGCAUUAUAGCUAUUACGAUAAGAUGUCAUUAACGUCUUGGUUAGCUUGAUGUGGUCCAGACCCAUGUGCGCAAGAUUAUCCAAGAUGGCUUCAGGGUGAAAACGUCAUGCUCCUGAGGUGCCACAUAUACGAAGAUCAAAAUCGAGAGAGAUUUCUUGACUCGAUCCCUUUGACACCCAAGUCAGUGAUAUAAGAUAGGUGACUGUAGACGCGAGUGAUUAAAGAGUAACGUCCCUAUUUUAUUAUGUUGAAGAUAAGCUUUUAUACCUGGUUGUAAAGGGACAUAAUAUUCUAGGACAUAUUGUAUGGGAAUGUAGCCUCUAACCACCUCUACCAAUUUUCUCUUAACAUUUUAUCUACAUGGGUGACAAGGGAGGAUAGCCUACAACCACCUGCCUUGGACCCUUGUCCACGUGGGCAAACAAAUGGAGGGUAGCCUUCAUCUUCUCAUUCUAGUUUAGAUACCACGUGGAGGUUACGUGUCGGAUAAUGAUUGGCUAACGAUGUUUUCCCUCGCAACUAAAGUAUAAGAUUAAAGAUUCAACAAAGACAAAGAGAUACAACAUCUACAAAGACUUCGACAAGAACACUGAAAGAAUAAGUGAGGAAGAAUGUCAUGGACAAAGAUAUACAUAAGAUGUUUGAUAUAAUGUUUGUGUAUAUUCGUAAAUUUCGAUUUUGUUCAACGGCUUAUAGUAGGCUUAGUAACCCCAUUUUAAUUGGCUUUUGUGACCAUUUUAUCCUAUAAAUGCAAGUUAUAAGAAAUCAUCACGUAGAUGUAAAAUUACCUAAAACUAGAUUAUCCAAAUAAUCAUUUUGGAGGUUUUCUAACUCCGUAGAGUGGUGCGAAGUAUUAACUAGUACAAUACACUAGAGCUACCAUGUGACACAUGAUUAGAUAGACCUUUGGGGUAUUAUCUAGGGUUGUUUACUAUCUUAUGUUGUAGUAGCGUCAUGUGAGCACUUAUAAGGACUUUUGAUCUCAGCGAACCACCUUGGACCUUGUGACGUGCGAUCAUUCAGAGCUUACGAAGUUUAUAUUUAUAAUUUAUAUUACCUAUCAAGUAUUUUGCUAAAAUGUGUGCUUGUGAAAUCCUGAGUAAAACAUUUCUUUUAAUUUGUUUCUCUUUUUAAUAUUUUUAUGGGAUCAUAAAAGGUUUCAGGGGGACUAACCCUUUACGGAUGAACACGUAAGGAUAUUGUACAACUUAAACAAAACUAACUAAAUCCAUAAGAUUUAAUUAAAAAUAUAUUUAAAAUAAAUUAUGAAUAUAAUAAUAUAAAAAUAUCAAAAUAUAUGAAAAAUAAAAAUCAGGGUUUAUAAGGGAAAAGACAGAAACUUUCAGUGUCUCCAAGGAGACGUAUGGAUGUGUUGCAUGAUACAGCAAUCCUGAAUCUAAAUUUUUCUAUGGCAAGCUUAACCAAGUAACGUCUUGAAAUGUUUAGGUAAAGUUGAACUCAUAAAUAACAAUGCAACUAUUUUUCCUUGCACCAAAAAUAAAUGAAAAUGUUAUCAGGAAGUAUGACAAAGAACAAAAAAAAGGAAGUGAAAGUUAGAAGAUUGACACCCAACACCACUCUCAACUGAAUAAACUUAGAAUCACUUAAAUACCCGAAUCAAUGUCAGCAACACAUUUAAACUGCUGCAGAAACAUCAAGAUUUGUCGAUCCUGUAUUCAAGACACUUGCGCAUUAUCCGGCCUACUGUAUCAACUUAUUGGAUGUGUUGUUAUUAAUUUUUCAGCUUACUAAAAUUAUUCACAGCGUUUAGCAUCACAUUGAGAUUAAAAAAUAAAAGAAAAUUACCAUAUUAAUUUGCGCUAAAUUUUUGAAAACUAAUCCAUUGACUUGUUCUAUUCUUCUAUAUCAAACACAAAAAGAAAAGGCAGAGCAAAUGACUGAAAAUAUGAAUACGGAGAAGCUAGUUUCUCGUGAUUCAGUUAGGUAAUACCGCAGAUAGGAUUCAACACUUGAACAAGAUUUCAGAUUGCUACCAAAAGCUCUUCUGACAAAACUGAUACAGUCAGUAUAUGAUACAGAAGUAGGAUCAAACUAAAGAUAAAGAGAAGAGACUUAAUUCACUUAAAUUAAGAACUUAUGAUUAAAUAAGGAUUGGAAUUUUAAGGAAGAAAAUAUCCUACUAUCCUUCCCUCUCAAGCAGCUGGUGACGGGGAAGGAAGAGAUGUGGCCAACAAGAGAUGAAGUGCGUCACGCUAGUUUAAUCUCAUAUCAAAAGUGGGAGGAUGCUUUAAUUGGUUUAUAGGGGCUUGAUGGUAUACAAUCAAUUUGGGCUCAAGCCGUUUUGCUCAUGUGAUUCUAGAUCUAUCAAGUAAAUGAGUCAAUUAUCUCAUCAAGUUGAUUUCAUUACAAUUAUAUAUAAGUUACCUUAGUUUAGUCCCAUAAUAGUCAUCUCUGAUGGGAUGAUUUAAUCAUUAACUUCGUUAUCAAAAUAUUUAAAAUGAUAGAUUAACAUAUCCUUUGAUGAUUGGAUAACUGAUUCAUUAGGUUUAUUGAGCCUAAACUACUAGAUCAAAAUAUUUAAAUUUGGGUUAGCGAUACCAUACCCAUUAGACCUUUAUAAAUAAAUUUAAUAUUUUAUCAACACUACCAAACUGAAAGAAUAAAUGCACAUCCAAACUAAGUCGAAAAGGGCUAUUCAUCCAAGACUAAAUGCACAUCGUAGCUUGAAGCCACAACACCGCAAGUUUAGUCCAUGGGAAGAGACUUGAAUUGUUAAAAAUGUAAGUGACGCGAGAUUGGCAAGGUAAAUGAUCCUACAUAAGCAAAGAGCCUGACAAAGCACCAACGCAAAAGAAAACUCGGAUUAGAGAAUCGACGGAUCGAAGAUAGAGCAGAAGCUUUACCGAUACCCAAAUCCAAGAAACCCAGGACAAGAUCCAGAGAAACUAUGAAGAAAAGAAUGAACAAGAAGGCAACAUAACAGUUGGGGUUAGAGAAUCGAUGGAUCGAAUACCGAGCAGAAACGUCGCCGAGAUUGCUCCGUGGUGCAAUUGAUCGUUCAAGAACGAGGAUGCCUGAGCGGAUGGCGGAGAGACCUAGAAGGAUUCUGAGCGAUCGAGGGCGGAAAGCCGAAAGCGAGCAAAGAACAAGCCCUAAUCUACACAAGUGGAGGAGGAGGAGGAGGAAUGCCAUCGCCCGAAACCGACGGGGAUGGGAUUGGUGAGCGAGAGCGAGAAAGCGGGCCUUUUAUAGCUACGAUUGCGAGCGGGGCUGUUACGAUCCCAACGGCGAAGAGCUUAUUUGAGACGCGGCGAUCUCCGUGCAGUCUAUCCGUUAUAAACCAUGUUGGCGAGAUGACGUAACAGCAAAUCGGGU
RNAcentral lists this long non-coding RNA (8296 nucleotides) under Musa acuminata (dwarf banana). RNAcentral describes it as "long non-coding RNA (MACU_LNC003245)". The record is from RNAcentral. Lineage: Eukaryota; Viridiplantae; Streptophyta; Magnoliopsida; Zingiberales; Musaceae.